GUAGCGACAACUAAUAAAUUCUAAUUUAAAAUCAGUGUCGCAAGAGAAGGUUCUUCUAAGAGCGGGCCAUUUCUCAGUGUGUUACUCGUGCAGCUCAUUCGUUUCACCGUCCCGAACCGGCGUAGCCGUCGUUCCUGACACCGUGAUAAACAGCCGCCUCUGUCGUAAGUCAAGUCGGUAUAAAAUCUCGGACAUUACUCGUUCUAGAGAGAGAGUUUACUAAGUUGGAACAACUUGACAGGGCGGAUAUAGUUAGCGUUAGAUCUUAAGCAGCAGCACCACCAAUACCAGCACCACCACCACCACCGUCCGUCUCCUUUCAUUCGUUAUUCUUCAAAUUCCACGUCAAUGGUAUUCGACUUUUGUUAGAGUAAUAAAAUCGUGCUCCUGCUUAUUUUUCCUCCCUUCUUUUAAAAAAAAAAAACGUUUAGGGAGUCAAGCUACGUCUCGUAAACCAUCCAAUUCUAAUGAAGUAGACGAUAAUGUAAAUUACUCGGAACGAAACUACCCAAAGGAGUCUUCUUUUUCUCUUUCUCUUUACUCGAUCUCACUGGAGAAGAGGAGAAAAUUAAAAUCCGUAUUUCUAUCGAACGCGAAGAGACUUAAGAAUUGAUUAAAUUACACUUGGUAAUACAGCUGCUACCGUGAUUCGAAAUUUGUCCGUUUACCGACACGUAAUCCGUUCCAAGAGAUCGAUAAGAGAGUGAGUUACACGAGUUGCUUGUAAAUGAGUUGAGAUAUCGAUCAGGAUCUUAAAGAAGUAUAUAUAAGACUCAUCCAAGUGACGGUAGGAAGAGAGAUAACGUACUUAGAAAAGGAAAUAUACUGUUUUCGCACGCGAAGAAAAUACAUAUAACACCAUCCUACGUCUGAAGAUGAGAACAAAAACGCGUUUGUUUAGCAACGAUAUUAUUCGUUCAAUUUGGAAAAAAUAUGUACAACAAAGUUUACUCUUAGGUGCAGGACACAUAACGUCGGCUAUGGCAGCAGUCAUAAAAUCUUUAAAAUGCAAAGCUACAAUGAAAUUGUGGGCACAAAUGUAACCCUCUGGUAAGGUUAAUCUGGCGAGAGCAUCGCGACGCCUGGCUAAUGGCACGUCCGACGGUUGCGUGCCAGCAUUUUCAGCCAAGCAGUCGUCGAGCAUCCGUCCUGUUCAGAAGAGGGAAGGAGGCUCAGCCAGCCGGCUGAGUGAUGAACCAUAAAGGGAAAUUAAUGUUCUGGAUGGUAAUGGUAAAUGGGGUGGAAAGAAGACAAGAAAUCGUAAGAUAAACGACAUCGGGAUGUGCCGAAGGCUGGCAUCUUUUAUCGACGAAAAAGAAACGAAAAGAACAAAAAAGGAUUUAAGAAGAGAGAAUAUAAGGACUAAAAAAGAAUUGAUCGUAUCCAUCAAAAGACGAAGAAGUGGCAAGCGAGGAAAGGGACAAAUCAGAGAAAGAGAGAGAGAGAGGAGGCCAUCCUGAAUUGGAUGAAAGAGUUUCUUUAAUCGGCAACACGUACACGGAUCAGUACACGCGUCAGUACGCGACGACGUAGUUAACGGCUUCCAGGAAUGGUUUCUCGCUCGAUCUCGACACGCUCUUGGCGACCAUAUCGAGGUUCCAUCUGUGGCUACCGUGCCACGCCGACAGACGUUUCACCGAUCGCCGAUCUCAGCGGAUUAUUAUGCUUGUCCCUGCUGACUAUGAUCACCGCAGACACGUUGGUAUGCUUGGCUCAUUAGCCGUUCGGUUCCCCGCCAUCAAAGCGAUGAAUAAUGGCUUUCCUUCCUUCAUCCUGCUUUUCUUUUACUCACCCUCCUGAUUCUUUCAACCUAUGAUGACCAUUUAUUAAUUUCUCGUAUCGAAAAAUCCUAAAUCUGGGCAACUUCGAAAUUUCAUUUUUCUGACAAACAAGUUUCCAACUUAUAUAGUGUUAAGUAUAUGACAAUAAUUUUAGAAACAUAAUAUAUAUGAUACGUGGUUAAAUUUUGUCAAUGACACGAUUAGUAAUAUUAAAAUAUUAAAAUAUUAAAAAUUAAUACGAAAUAAAAAUAAUGGACAAUUCCAGAAAAGGAAAGUUAACCAAUGACUAUAAUAAACCAACACAACAGAAAUAAAUUUUUUAUGAGAUAUGGGAAUAUAAAAGAAAAAUGAAUGAAAAAUAUAUAAUAUAAAUCUUGUAUUUUUUUUCUGUUUUCUUUAAGAAUAAGCGAGAGAAUAAUCAUCAAAUAAAAAUCACAAUAUUAUGGGCGAUAGGUUUGCUAAUCGAGAUGAAAAUUAAUCAAAGUCGUUCCUAAAAAGGAUAGUUGUCGUCGUAAUAGUAAUCGCGUGAGAACGAGUUAAGCUUGGUAGAUACGUCAAAGUUUUAUAUACUCGGUUGUUAUAAGGGCUCAGUGGAGUCCUGUUUGGGUGAUGAGCAUCGAUCUUCGAUCGUUGGUACACGGGCUUUAAGAGCGAGGACGUUGCUUCAAAAAGGUUUGAAAUAUGCGCCUUUCGAAUGAAAGAGAGAAAGAGAUAGAGAGAAAGAAGAAUAUAUAUACGUUGGCUCGUAAUUUAUAACGGUCGUUUUCGCAACAAGAGCACGUCGAAAUGACCACCCGGUGGCAGGCUAAAGGAUGUUCGGUCAUAACAUCUGACGAAGCGAAACAUUAGCAGGAGGAUAUAUCAGCCUGGGCUCUCUUAUAGACGAAGCGUGGGCAGUAUCUUGAAUAUCACCCAGAAGAACGAGCACGAAAUGAUAUGUGAAAGAAGUCGUUCCUCCGCUUCGUCACUUCCAUUCUCCCUUUCAUUCUUCUAUACGAAGAACGAGGAGUGAUCCUUUAGAAAUGUCUUUUUUAUCGAGAUAUGCAUAUGGUAUUAAUAAAAAAAUAAAUACACUUUUACCGAUAGUACGAUUU
Molecule: long non-coding RNA, 2875 nt
Filed under: Polistes dominula (European paper wasp)
Lineage: Eukaryota; Metazoa; Arthropoda; Insecta; Hymenoptera; Vespidae
Description: uncharacterized LOC107071281, transcript variant X1
Source: RNAcentral